Molecule: long non-coding RNA, 134 nt
Organism: Amphimedon queenslandica
Lineage: Eukaryota; Metazoa; Porifera; Demospongiae; Haplosclerida; Niphatidae
Exons: 3
Source: RefSeq, a predicted model, not a curated record
CUCUGACAAUCAUUGAUAAUACAUUAGUAUCAGAAACUUCAAGCAGCAUAACAAUAUCAAGCUCUACUUCAGCCACAUCACAAUCAACAUGUACAGGAUCCAUCAUCAGUUCUGUUGCUAUUGCAGUACCUAUC